CCUACGGGGGGCUGCAGUGGGGAAUAUUGGACAAUGGGGGGAACCCUGAUCCAGCCAUGCCGCGUGUGUGAAGAAGGCCCUCGGGUUGUAAAGCACUUUCAGUGAGGAAGAACGCCUGGUGGUUAAUACCCAUCAGGAAAGACAUCACUCACAGAAGAAGCACCGGCUAACUCCGUGCCAGCAGCCGCGGUAAUACGGAGGGUGCGAGCGUUAAUCGGAAUUACUGGGCGUAAAGCGCGCGUAGGUGGCUUGAUAAGCCGGUUGUGAAAGCCCCGGGCUCAACCUGGGAACGGCAUCCGGUACUGUCAAGCUAGAGUGCAGGAGAGGAAGGUAGAAUUCCCGGUGUAGCGGUGAAAUGCGUAGAGAUCGGGAGGAAUACCAGUGGCGAAGGCGGCCUUCUGGACUGACACUGACACUGAGGUGCGAAAGCGUGGGUAGCAAACAGGAUUAGAUACCCGAGUAGUC
Molecule: ribosomal RNA, 465 nt
Filed under: Vreelandella stevensii
Lineage: Bacteria; Pseudomonadati; Pseudomonadota; Gammaproteobacteria; Oceanospirillales; Halomonadaceae
Description: partial 16S ribosomal RNA
Rfam family: Bacterial small subunit ribosomal RNA
Source: RNAcentral